Long non-coding RNA from Ctenopharyngodon idella (grass carp), 621 nucleotides. RefSeq lists it as uncharacterized. The record is from RefSeq and is a predicted model, not a curated record. The transcript is spliced from 4 exons. NCBI's taxonomy places the organism in Eukaryota, Metazoa, Chordata, Actinopteri, Cypriniformes, Xenocyprididae.
AGCACUGUACGAGAAUGCCACAAUGGAGAAACACUGACAUUUUUCAUUGUUUGGUCUGAUGAUAAAAGAAAGAAAGAAAAAGGGCCACAUCGUCUGGUUUGGCAGGUGGAAGAUUUAUCAGAGAAUGUACCACUUACCACACGUACCACCUACCUAAGCAUUGUUGCAGACCAUGUACACCCUUUUAUGGAAACGGUAUUCCUUGGUGGCUGUGGCCUCUUUCAGCAGGAUAAUGCCUCUGCCACAAAGCAAAAAUGGUUCAGGAAUGGUUUGAGGAGCACAACGAGUUUGAGGAGGUAUAUGGCUGUGAGGUACAGUCAUACUAAUGAAUUGGGAGGAUUCUGGGAAUAUGGUGGUCUCUGCUCUGCACCACAAAAAGAUGCCAGCAGUUGGGGGGCUUUUGUACUACUGAAUGCUCUUGCCCUGACGAGAGGCAUCAGUCCAAGCCAUCUGACACAACGCCAUGCAGUGGAAAUGAGGAAGUUUGUGUACCACAAACUCAAACAAAAUGCAUUAUGUUAAAGGUUUAGGUAACCCAAAAAUGAAAAUUCUGUCAUUAAUUACUCGCCCUCAUGUCGUUUUAUACCCAUAAGACCAUCGUUUAUCUUCAGAACACAAAUU